AGGCCUGCCCUGCCUGACCUACUCUUGUGAGGCCAAGGCCAUCUCCUCCACUCUCUGGGGGCCUCUUCUGACUCCUCCAAACUCUUCCAUGUCUGGACUCCUGGCUUCUGCCCAAGGCCAUCUAUUGGAGUUUGGGUUUCCAGUUGAGGAUCUGCCUUUUUCCUGGAUGACCAAACCUAGAAUGUGACCGGCCUCAUGCUCCCUCCUCACAAGGGUGUGGCUUUAUCCGAGGGCCUCAGCAAGGCAACCAACACCAGACAUGAAGCUGAGCACACUCAGCUCAUCCUGGGAGACAAGGUGGGGGUGGAGGAUGGUCCAUCCUUCUUCCGCAUCAAGAUGGGAAGUCUUGACUCAUUACCCGCUGGAGACUUUUCCUGCUGGGCUCUGCACUGUCAACUGUGAGAGAGGGAAAUAAAACGUACUGUACAGUCCAA
Homo sapiens (human) is the source of this 434-nucleotide long non-coding RNA. Ensembl annotates it as MSH2 overlapping transcript 1. Its record names the gene MSH2-OT1. The record is from Ensembl. NCBI's taxonomy places the organism in Eukaryota, Metazoa, Chordata, Mammalia, Primates, Hominidae.